RNAcentral lists this transfer RNA (94 nucleotides) under Selenihalanaerobacter shriftii. RNAcentral's name for it is "tRNA_Ser_GCT". It matches the Rfam family "tRNA". Rfam says of the family: Transfer RNA (tRNA) molecules are approximately 80 nucleotides in length. The record is from RNAcentral. Lineage: Bacteria; Bacillati; Bacillota; Clostridia; Halanaerobiales; Halobacteroidaceae.
GGAGAAGUGCCCAAGUCAGGUUGAAGGGGACGGUUUGCUAAAUCGUUAGGUCGCUUUUAGCGGCGCGAGGGUUCAAAUCCCUCCUUCUCCGCCA